UUCUAUUGGGUUGAGCAAAAAGUUUGUUCAGAUUUUUCAGUACAAUGUUAUAGAAAACCUUAAAGAACUUUUUGGCCCACCCAAUAUUU
Molecule: microRNA precursor, 89 nt
Filed under: Ovis aries (sheep)
Lineage: Eukaryota; Metazoa; Chordata; Mammalia; Artiodactyla; Bovidae
Description: miRNA (ENSOARG00000021255.1)
Source: RNAcentral